Molecule: ribosomal RNA, 492 nt
Filed under: uncultured bacterium
Lineage: Bacteria
Description: partial 16S ribosomal RNA
Rfam family: Bacterial small subunit ribosomal RNA
Source: RNAcentral
AGUGAACGCUGGCGGUAGGCCUAACACAUGCAAGUCGUACGGCAGCACAGUAAGAGCUUGCUCUUACGGGUGGCGAGUGGCGGACGGGUGAGGAAUACAUCGGAAUCUACUUUUUCGUGGGGGAUAACGUAGGGAAACUUACGCUAAUACCGCAUACGACCUACGGGUGAAAGCAGGGGAUCUUCGGACCUUGCGCGAUUGAAUGGGCCGAUGUCGGAUUAGCUAGUUGGCGGGGUAAAGGCCCACCAAGGCGACGAUCCGUAGCUGGUCUGAGAGGAUGAUCAGCCACACUGGAACUGAGACACGGUCCAGACUCCUACGGGAGGCAGCAGUGGGGAAUAUUGGACAAUGGGCGCAAGCCUGAUCCAGCCAUACCGCGUGGGUGAAGAAGGCCUUCGGGUUGUAAAGCCCUUUUGUUGGGAAAGAAAAGCAGCAGGUUAAUACCCCGCUGUUCUGACGGUACCCAAAGAAUAAGCACCGGCUAACUUCGUG